GACGAACCAUGCAAACGUUAUUCGGAUUCACUGGGCUUAAAGCGUGCGUAGGCGGUCUUGUUAGUCAGGUGUGAAAGCCCUCAGCCUAACUGAGGAAUUGCGCUUGAUACUGCAUGACUAGAGAAUGAUAGAGGUGGGUGGAACUGAUGGUGGAGCGGUGAAAUGCGUUGAUAUCAUCAGGAACACCAGUGGCGAAGGCGACCCACUGGGUCAUUUCUGACGCUGAGGUACGAAAGCGUGGGGAGCAAACAGG
RNAcentral lists this ribosomal RNA (253 nucleotides) under uncultured bacterium. RNAcentral's name for it is "partial 16S ribosomal RNA". It matches the Rfam family "Bacterial small subunit ribosomal RNA", at positions 524 to 776 of the family's 1533-position model. The record is from RNAcentral.